RNAcentral lists this unclassified non-coding RNA (921 nucleotides) under Hevea brasiliensis (rubber tree). The record is from RNAcentral. Lineage: Eukaryota; Viridiplantae; Streptophyta; Magnoliopsida; Malpighiales; Euphorbiaceae.
GAUUUCCCAGUUCCAGGAGGACCAUACAGUAGAUAUCCACGCUUCCAGGCCUUGCCAAUUCUCUUGUAGAAUUCCUUCCUGCCCAAGAACCUGUCCAAAUCAUCAAUAAUAGAUUUCUUCAACUGGUAAUCCAUGGCGAGUGCAUCGAAAGUGGAUGGAUGUCGAAAAUCAAUAGAAUUCCAGCAACCGCGAGACCUUGUGUAGAGCUUCAAAACCUUCUCCCCUUGGGUUAAGGCCUUGGAAGUAUCUAGAAUAUGAUUCAAGUAGUCAUGAAAAACCUUUUCCCUGUAUUGAUCUUCAAAUGUUAUCUCAAAAUGACCCUUGUUGAAAAACCUGUCAUUCUUGGCUCGAUCAUCAUUUUCUUGCUUGGCAAACUGCCAUGUGAUCUCUAUCCCUUCAAACACGUCAACAAUCUUCUCACCUUCUACCAUGGCAGCUGUAACAUUCUUUUGCCCUCUAAACUUGCCAACUCUGAUUACUUUGUUCUUGGGACCAAUCUUGGAGGAUAAGUAAAAUCUGGAAGCAUCUAUGAGCUUGUUACGGUCAAGGCCAUCCCAUGAAUCAUCGAUGAUGAAGGUAUUAAAAGACUUGGACAACUUUCUACGAGAGAAAAAGCUCAAGAUUUUGGAGACCACAAAGGUCUCAAUCUUCUUGGGUACCAGUUCAUGGUAGACAUUCCGUAGAAGCAUCAAGGAUGUGGAGAAGGAGGCAUAAAAGGACAGCAAAUAAGAUGUUGAAGGGAACAUCCUUGUAUUUUCUACAAAAGCAUAGGCCAUGUCGAUGAUUUUAGUAGGAUUUGGUCUAGACCCUAGUUCUUGGACAAGAAGAAGCAAGAACUAGAGCUACUUGUCAAAUGAAACUCUCUCAGUGUGAAUGGAAUUUGUUUAUUCACUACGGAAUGAAAUUUCGAAAAGAAAAAUC